RNAcentral lists this ribosomal RNA (253 nucleotides) under uncultured bacterium. RNAcentral describes it as "partial 16S ribosomal RNA". It matches the Rfam family "Bacterial small subunit ribosomal RNA", at positions 524 to 776 of the family's 1533-position model. The record is from RNAcentral.
UACGUAGGGGGCAAGCGUUGUCCGGAAUCAUUGGGCGUAAAGAGCGUGUAGGCGGAUCGGUAAGUCCGCUCUGAAAGCCCGGGGCUCAACCCCGGGAGGCGGGCGGAUACUGUCGGGCUAGAGUCCGGAAGAGGCGAGUGGAAUUCCUGGUGUAGCGGUGAAAUGCUCAGAUAUCAGGAGGAACACCAAUGGCGAAGGCAGCUCGCUGGGACGGUACUGACGCUGAGACGCGAAAUCGUGGGGAGCAAACAGG